RNAcentral lists this ribosomal RNA (446 nucleotides) under uncultured bacterium. Its description in RNAcentral is "bacterial SSU rRNA". It matches the Rfam family "Bacterial small subunit ribosomal RNA", at positions 355 to 825 of the family's 1533-position model. The record is from RNAcentral.
UGGGGAAUCUUGCGCAAUGGGCGAAAGCCUGACGCAGCCAUGCCGCGUGAAUGAUGAAGGUCUUAGGAUUGUAAAGUUCUUUCGCUCGUGACGAUGAUGACGGUAACGAGAGAAGAAGCCCCGGCUAACUUCGUGCCAGCAGCCGCGGUAAUACGUAGGGACCAAGCGUUGUUCGGAUUUACUGGGCGUAAAGGGCGCGUAGGCGGCAUGACAAGUCACUUGUGAAAUCUCUGGGCUUAACCCAGAACGGCCAAGUGAUACUGUCGCGCUAGAGUGCAGAAGGGGCAAUCGGAAUUCUUGGUGUAGCGGUGAAAUGCGUAGAUAUCAAGAGGAACACCUGAGGUGAAGACGGUUGCUGGGCUGACACUGACGCUGAGGCGCGAAAGCCAGGGGAGCAAACGGGAUUAGAUACCCUAGUAGUCCCUGAGCGGGCUGGCAAGGCGCAU